This 2003-nucleotide unclassified non-coding RNA is filed under the name Hevea brasiliensis (rubber tree). Lineage: Eukaryota; Viridiplantae; Streptophyta; Magnoliopsida; Malpighiales; Euphorbiaceae. The record is from RNAcentral.
GAAAAUCCUACGUGAAAGAUGAGUCUGCAUAAGUGAAUGGGCUAAGUAAGUACAAAGCAAUGGUAUCAUAUAUACUUGAACAAUUACAACAUGAAAAACAACCCAACCUACAAGAUUACAAUCAAAGAUUAUAACAAAUAUAGCAACUCUAACAAACAUAGCAACUUAUUCUUUCUCUUUGCUUCUUUCUGAGAUUUUAUCUUCCUCUUCCUCAACUUCUACAAAAUCUUCUAAAGAUUUGUUCAAUUGGAUCAUCUCUUGUAUAUCUUCGUCGUAUACAACGCGUAUUCCACACUUCUUGAUUUUCUCUUUGGGCUCAAAAUUAAGUAACAGCUCAGUCGGACAGUAGUCACUAGUUGGAUCGAGCAGUUGAUUCACUUGGAAGAAGAAGCUACGAUGAUCCGACGUAACUUGGGAAGUUCCAGGGACAGGAACAUGGUUGCUCCAACACUCAGCUGGCCCACUUUUUCUACCGACUGCAAUGGACCAAGUAAUAUUUUCACCAACAUUUCUCUCCCCAACAACAGCACAAACUGCAAAACCUGCAAUAUUCCACCACUCAUCAUUUGCAGGUAGUUCUAUUCUCAACUGACUCUCCUCUCCCUGAUACGUGAACCAGUCAGGAAUUCCACUUCCGGGUAAGCAUAUAUAGAACUCAGGGAGCUCCAAAAAUGAAAUGAAAGGUCUCUGAUGGCAAAUUCCACUCCCUGGUAAGCAUAAAUAGAAGUCAGGGAGCUCCAAAAAUGGAAGGAUGCGUCUCUGAGGGAAAGGUUUUUCAAAAUCUUCCACACUGCAAUUUUCUUCUAACUUCAUUAGCUGCCGAACUUCAUGUAACCAAAGCAGGUAAUAUCUGAGCCAUGUAAAUGGCACGCUAAUUUUACCUUGAAAGUAAUUCAAUUUGGAAAAAUUUGAGAAACCUAUAUAAAAACCCUUCCCCACAUUUCGUGUUUCAAAUAGAUUUGUUAGUGUUGCAAGUGCAGUGCAAUUUUCCAUAUCUAGAAAGUUAACACUGGUAGGAAGAUCCGGCAAUGACUGAAGGCUCUUGCAAUUAGCACACUGAAGUUUUUGCAAUCUAUGAAGUUGAACCAGAUCUGGAAGAAUUUGCAAUGAAGUGCAAUUUUUCAUAUCUAGAUGUUCAAUAUUAGAUGGAAGAGCAGGCAAAGACUUGAGUCUUGUGCAAUUAGAAAAAUCAACAUCUACGAGGUUAGAAAGUUGGCUGAUGCUUGAAGGUACACUCAAAAGAUGAUUUCCACUUAAAUUUAGUUUUACCAAUGACUGUAAGCAGCUCAGAUCAUUGGGAACUUCUGGUAGGUUGCAGGAACUCAAAUCCAGUUUCCUCAGAGCUCGUAGACUUGAGAAAGCCAAAGUCAGGGGAUUUUGGUUCCUCUUAGGAUGCAGUAGGAAAUUACUCAGAAGAUCCCAUGGUUUAGCCAAUGUCAUUUGUCUGGAACCAACUCCAGCUGCAUCAAGCUCCUCCAAACUCGUCAUACCUGCCAACCCCUCAGGCAGUUUGCUAAGCUUUGAGCAGCCAUGCAAAUUAAGAAUCUUGAGGGAUUUCAAAUUCCAUAUGUCAUUUGGAAGAGUCACCAGGUUUUUGCAGUCUUUCAGGUUCAAUGAGAACAACCUUCUCAAUACACCAAUGCUUUGGUGCACAUCAACUAGGCUUGUACACCCUUGAAGAUUCAACACUUCAAGGUUUGGGACAUCUCUAAAGUCCGGGGUCUUGAUUAAAUCUUUAGAGUAACUAAGAUCAAUGAUCUUCAGCAGCUGUAAAGGCUGUCAAAAGACACAGCGUUAGACUCAACUAUGAAAGAAAAAAACUAGUUGAUGUUUAUAUAUGCUUACUUUUAUUGCCUUCCAUAGUUGUUUCAAAUUGCUGUGUUGCAUGUUGAGCUCAACAAGUUUAUUUGGUUGAAAAGUUGAUGGAAAGAAUUUGAAAGGAUAUUCAUGCCAUUCUAGAUAUCUUAAUUCAUUUGAAAGAUAUUCAAUGUCAUAAAAAAAGC